AAUCUUGGAAGCCACCACCCUGGAGGGCGGAGCAAGGACCAGUGAGAAACCAAUCAGGACUCAGGCUCUAGGAAGCUCUGAGCAGCGACGAAUCAGAAUGCAGCAGCGUUGGUCUCAAGUGGCGCGCGUGAAUUUGAACGCACUGGCAGAGCGCCGUGCGCUUGUGAGGAGAGUUGCGACCUUGCUGAGGUGCGGAGAGUCCUUAGCCCGAGUGGACGCCGAGCCAGCGGGAGGCUGAGGAGCGCAGGAAUUCAGUUAAGAUGAUGGCAACUUUUACGCCAAGGAAGAGGAAACGAUACACCCUGAAUGAUGAUAAUGGUGAUAGCCUAUUAACAGAUACUUCAUCAAGAAAAUUAAAUUUAAACUCUUCUGAAAAUCUCUUUCCAUCACCUAAUAAAAAACAUACUUGUCAAAGCAGUGAACAAAAGGAAGGAAAGUCUUGCUCCUACCAAGACGAUUUC
Cricetulus griseus (Chinese hamster) is the source of this 461-nucleotide non-coding RNA. NCBI's taxonomy places the organism in Eukaryota, Metazoa, Chordata, Mammalia, Rodentia, Cricetidae. The record is from RefSeq and is a predicted model, not a curated record.